Cercocebus atys (sooty mangabey) is the source of this 572-nucleotide long non-coding RNA. RefSeq lists it as uncharacterized. NCBI's taxonomy places the organism in Eukaryota, Metazoa, Chordata, Mammalia, Primates, Cercopithecidae. The record is from RefSeq and is a predicted model, not a curated record. The transcript is spliced from 5 exons.
CGGGCGUGUAGGAGUUGGAGAAUGAGUGGAUUUGUCCUGUGUACCUAGUAGCCGACUGACUUCUGAAUGCGGUUUUCACAGGAUGAUGGUCCAAGGGAAAAAAUGUCCAGUUCAGCCUGCAACUCAACAACUGUACGAAAGCUUUUUUCCAAGAAAUAAUUGUAUUUCUAGAUGGCAUCAGUGGAAAUUUACACAUACUUCCCCUUUUAUCAACAGAACAUUAAGGAGUAUCUGGAAGGAGGCUACACAGAAAUUAGCAGGAAAUAAGUGACAACAAAAUUUAUCAGUUAAGAAGUGACCAAAGAAUUAACUGCAACCCCCAUCUGGUGCAGUAUCACAUGGUGAAGUGUUAAGUGACAAUAGCAAUUUUUGGGAAUCUGGUUCAGAGAAUCAUGAAAGACCAGCGGAGGCAUCACUGUGAGCAAGAGUAAUAACCACAAUAUUUAACCAUCAAUAGGAAGAGGACUUAAAGCAAUCAGAAUACAUCAACAUCAUCAACUAUGAUGGGAGCUUAUUCAUUUUAUUCUGUAGUUUUCUGGAAAAAUUACUUAACUUCUGAUUCUGACAAGACA